UAAUACGAAGGUGGCAAGCGUUGUUCGGAUUUACUGGGCGUACAGGGAGCGUAGGCGGUUGGGUAAGCCCUCCGUGAAAUCUCCGGGCCUAACCCGGAAAGUGCGGAGGGGACUGCUCGGCUAGAGGAUGGGAGAGGAGCGCGGAAUUCCCGGUGUAGCGGUGAAAUGCGUAGAGAUCGGGAGGAAGGCCGGUGGCGAAGGCGGCGCUCUGGAACAUUUCUGACGCUGAGGCUCGAAAGCGUGGGGAGCAAACAGGAUUAGAUACCCUGGUAGUCCACGCCUUAAACGAUGGAUACUAAGUGUCGGCGGGUUACCGCCGGUGCCGCAGCUAACGCAUUAAGUAUCCCGCCUGGGAAGUACGGCCGCAAGGUUGAAACUUAAAUGAAUUGACGG
Molecule: ribosomal RNA, 393 nt
Filed under: uncultured nitrite-oxidizing bacterium
Lineage: Bacteria
Description: bacterial SSU rRNA
Rfam family: Bacterial small subunit ribosomal RNA
Source: RNAcentral